RNAcentral lists this long non-coding RNA (336 nucleotides) under Coturnix japonica (Japanese quail). RNAcentral's name for it is "lncRNA (ENSCJPG00005012686.1)". The record is from RNAcentral. Lineage: Eukaryota; Metazoa; Chordata; Aves; Galliformes; Phasianidae.
UCUAACAAUGAAAAACCAAAACUACACCACAGAUCCAGCUCUGGACCUGAGUGUGACUAACAGGAAAAUCUGUCUGCAGCGCUACAAGGAAUAAUUAAGCUGUAAAUUUCAUCUUUGUUUGCCAGUGUCUGAACUCCAAUAAUUAUACGUCGUAGCAGCUGAUUACCAGUAACUUUAAGGAGAUCUGCCUGCUGUGUUUUGUCUCCAGUUCUCCUUUGUUCUCCAGAUACUUUGAAAUGCAUUUCUGGGACUGGCGGGUAAGAGAGCUAACUUUCAGUAUUAUUUAGGCACAGUACAUGUGUAAAAUUAGAGCUUAGUUUUAAUCACACAUCUGUA